GAGUUUGAUCCUGGCUCAGGAUAAACGCUGGCGGCGUGCCUAAUACAUGCAAGUCGAUCGAUGGAAACCUAGCUUGCUAGGUGGAAGUAGAGGCGAACGGGUGAGUAACACAUAAGCAACCUGCCUACAAAGACUGGGAUAAUCUCUGGAAACGGGGACUAAGACCGGAUAGGUAAUAGGACCACAUGAUCUUAUUAUUAAAGGUGAGAAACACUAGUAGAUGGGCUUAUGGCGCAUUAGUUAGUUGGUAAGGUAACGGCCUACCAAGACGAUGAUGCGUAGCCGGGCUGAGAGGCUGAACGGCCACAUUGGGACUGAGACACGGCCCAGACUCCUACGGGAGGCAGCAGUAGGGAAUUUUCGGCAAUGGGGGAAACCCUGACCGAGCAACGCCGCGUGAGUGAUGAAAGUCUUCGGAUUGUAAAGCUCUGUUAUAAGGGAAGAACGUCCCGGAUAGUCUCCGGGAGUGACGGUACCUUAUCAGAAAGCUACGGCUAACUACGUGCCAGCAGCCGCGGUAAUACGUAGGUAGCGAGCGUUAUCCGGAAUUAUUGGGCGUAAAGGGUGCGUAGGCGGCUUGUUAAGUUUAAGGUGAAAGCGUGGGGCUCAACCCCAUAAAGCCUUAGAUACUGACGAGCUAGAGUACUGGAGAGGGUAGUGGAAUUCCAUGUGUAGCGGUAAAAUGCGUAGAUAUAUGGAGGAACACCGGUGGCGAAGGCGGCUACCUAGACAGAGACUGACGCUGAUGCACGAAAGCGUGGGGAGCAGAUAGGAUUAGAUACCCUAGUAGUCCACGCUGUAAACGAUGAAUACUAGGUAUCGGGGNCACUCGGUGCCGCAGUUAACACGAUAAGUAUUCCGCCUGUGGAGUAUGCA
This 876-nucleotide ribosomal RNA is filed under the name uncultured bacterium. RNAcentral's name for it is "bacterial SSU rRNA". It matches the Rfam family "Bacterial small subunit ribosomal RNA", at positions 9 to 886 of the family's 1533-position model. The record is from RNAcentral.